Molecule: long non-coding RNA, 1586 nt
Organism: Bubalus bubalis (water buffalo)
Lineage: Eukaryota; Metazoa; Chordata; Mammalia; Artiodactyla; Bovidae
Exons: 3
Source: RefSeq, a predicted model, not a curated record
AAUAGGGUCUUUAGCAUAGUGAAAGUUUUAAUUUUGAUGAGGUGCAAUACCAGUUUUUCCUUUUAAUGAUCAUACUUUUGGUGUAAAGACCAAAAACUCUUCUGCUGGGGUUUUAUCUUGUUCCUUUGUCUGGAUGUUCCUCUGCUGCCUCAUUGUAUCUAAGUUGCCUCUUGUAUUUUUAUGUACAUGAUAUAUUAGUUACAUUUCUUGACCUUGGAGAAGUGGCCUCUGUAGAAGUUGUCUUAUGGGUUUCAGCACUCCCCUCUUGUCAUGCUAUGCUCCUCACCCAAGCUAUAUGCUCUUGGGUUUCCCCUAAAAGGGCUCCUUGGGGCCUUCUGUUUUUGGCAGGCUGUGUGGGUGGUCUUGGAGGCUUGGUUGGCCCCUAACUCAGUUGCUUGUCAGGCCCUGCCUUGUGUGCAUGCUGCCGGCUGCUGGUUAGCAGGCCCUGCUCAGGAGGUGGCUGACGGCAAGACCCCAGGGGACCUGAGGGCUAGUGCUGGCUUGCUGAUGGGUGGAGUCAGGGUCCAGAGGACUCCAGUGCUGCUGCCCCUAGAUGGCGGGUGAAGCCAGGUCCUGGGGUUAGUGCUGGAUUAUGAUAGGCAGUGCCAGGUCCUAAUGUUUGCUGUAGGGUCCGGGGGUCCCAGAGCUGGUGUCAUGUCGCCUGGGGGAGCAGUUCCUGACACAGUUGGGCAUGGGGUCCCAGGUGUGCUGAAGCUUGUGUUGGCCUGUUAGUGGGCAAGGCCAGGACCCAAUUGGUCCCAGAGUAGGUUCUGGCCUGCUAAGGGCAGGCUGGGUCUGAAGCCUGGGGGAUUGCGAUUUCCUUGCGUCUGUCUGAUAUCUGGCCCUGGUGGGUGAGGCUGGUCUAGAAACUUGUGCACAUUUCCUGGAGGACAAAGCCAGUGCCUGCCCACAAGUGGGUGGGACUUGUCUGGAGGAGGCUGUAGAUUCAGGAAGUCUUUAGGAGUAUGUGUUGAUGGGACUGUGUCUCUGCCCAGCUGUUUGGCCUGAGGCAUCCUGGUGAGGACACCUCCAGGAUGUCAGGUGGGGCCAAGUGUGGCCAGGUGUUGUGGCUAAUGAGCUAACAAUGCCUCCAGCACCAGCUUCUAGAACAAGCUCCUAAAUAUGGCUCCCGCUGCCGCGCACCCUCUCACCUCUUGUCUCUCCGGGAGACUCUCCUAGAAGAAGCAGAUGGCUGGAAGUCUGAAGCUGAGAACAGGCAAUGCCUAUGGUGCAACCAGAUUUAGUGGCGGCAAUUACAGUGAAGUGAAGUGAAGUCGCUCAGUCGUGUCUGACUCUUUGCGACCCCGUGGACUGUAGCCCAUCAGGCUCAUCUGUCCAUGGGAUUCUCCAGUUCCCUGAAUAGAGAUCAGACCUGAGACCCAGCAGUGAAAGCAACAAAUCCUUACCAAUGGACUGCUAAGGAAUUCACUACUUGUUUGAUUCUUUGUGCAAUUUAAUGAACCUUGUGUAUCAGUAACAGUAUAAUAUAUAUUUGUAUUUAAAUUUUUCUUGAGAAUCUAGACAUCUUUUUAUUGGAUAAAAAGCCGACAAAUAGAAAAUAUGUAUCUUAUAAACCUGUUAUUCAA